CGGAGGGUGCAAGCGUUAUCCGGAUUCACUGGGUUUAAAGGGUGUGUAGGCGGAUUUUUAAGUCAGUGGUGAAAUCUCCGGGCUCAACCCGGAAACUGCCAUUGAUACUAUUAGUCUUGAAUUCUGUUGAGGUGGGCGGAAUACAUCAUGUAGCGGUGAAAUGCUUAGAUAUGAUGUAGAACACCGAUUGCGAAGGCAGCUCACUAAGCAGACAUUGACGCUGAGGCACGAAAGCGUGGGGAUCAAACAGGAUUAGAUACCCUGGUAGUCCACGCCCUAAACGAUGAUUACUCGACAUACGCGAUACACAGUGAGUGUCUGAGCGAAAGCAUUAAGUAAUCCACCUGGGAAGUACGACCGCAAGGUUG
This 368-nucleotide ribosomal RNA is filed under the name uncultured organism. RNAcentral's name for it is "bacterial SSU rRNA". It matches the Rfam family "Bacterial small subunit ribosomal RNA", at positions 526 to 896 of the family's 1533-position model. The record is from RNAcentral.